GAUGAACGCUGGCGGCGUGCCUAAUACAUGCAAGUCGAGCGAACAGACGAGGAGCUUGCUCCUCUGACGUUAGCGGCGGACGGGUGAGUAACACGUGGAUAACCUACCUAUAAGACUGGGAUAACUUCGGGAAACCGGAGCUAAUACCGGAUAAUAUAUUGAACCGCAUGGUUCAAUAGUGAAAGACGGUUUUGCUGUCACUUAUAGAUGGAUCCGCGCCGCAUUAGCUAGUUGGUAAGGUAACGGCUUACCAAGGCGACGAUGCGUAACCGACCUGAGAGGGUGGUGGCCCACACUGGAACUGAGACACGGUCCAGACUCCUACGGGAGGCAGCAGUAGGGAAUCUUCCGCAAUGGGCGAAAGCCUGACGGAGCAACGCCGCGUGAGUGAUGAAGGUCUUCGGAUCGUAAAACUCUGUUAUUAGGGAAGAACAAAUGUGUAAGUAACUAUGCACGUCUUGACGGUACCUAAUCAGAAAGCCACGGCUAACUACGUG
This 497-nucleotide ribosomal RNA is filed under the name uncultured bacterium. RNAcentral describes it as "partial 16S ribosomal RNA". It matches the Rfam family "Bacterial small subunit ribosomal RNA", at positions 28 to 507 of the family's 1533-position model. The record is from RNAcentral.